GUAGUCUCGCACAGAUGCAUAUCAAUAAGCGGAGGAAAAGGCUGCGGAACUGAACGACCACUACCUACGCUUAGGAUGUUGAAGAUGUAGCACAUCAUACACGCAUGACACACUGCAUAUCAAUAAGCGGAGGAAAAGAAACUAACAAGGAUUCCCUUAGUAACGGCGAGUGAAGCGGGAAGAGCUCAAAUUUGAAAUCUUGAAAGGUCACCUUUCACGAAUUGUAGUUUAAAGAAGUGUUUUCUGUUACGAUCGUAAUAUAAGUUCUUUGGAAUAGGACAUCACAGAGGGUGAGAAUCCCGUCUAUGAUUGCGAUUUGUAGCUUUGUGAUACACUUUCAAAGAGUCGGGUUGUUUGGGAAUGCAGCCCAAAACGGGAGGUAAAUUUCUUCUAAGGCUAAAUAUUGGCGAGAGACCGAUAGCGAACAAGUACCGUGAGGGAAAGAUGAAAAGAACUUUGAAAAGAGAGUUAAACAGUACGUGAAAUUGUCAAAAGGGAAGCGUUUAACACCAGUGUUGUUUUUCUGAAAAUCAAUUAAAGAACUGUUUAUGCUAAGCUGUUUAGACUUUAUCAGCUAACUGUUUAGUUUUGAGCUUUUCUUUAAUGCACUUUUCAGUUAACAAGUCAACAUCAAUUUCUUUUGCUGUAAAAAAGCUUGAGGAAGGUGGCUUGAGAUUCGUCUUAAGUGUUUAUAGCCUCUUGCCUAUGCAGUCGGAGAGAUUGAGGUCUGCAGCGUAGAUCCUUCGGGGCUAAAUGCAUUUGAGCUAAGUUAUAGCAUUUUAUAGACAACUUGUUGACUAUGAUUUGUCUUGUAGCUUACUCGCUUAUGUUAUUUUACCUACGCUUAGGAUGUUGAGCGCAUGUCUCUCUCU
This 872-nucleotide ribosomal RNA is filed under the name uncultured Neocallimastigales. RNAcentral describes it as "partial large subunit ribosomal RNA". The stretch from base 89 to 872 matches the Rfam family "Eukaryotic large subunit ribosomal RNA", at positions 1 to 616 of the family's 3401-position model. Lineage: Eukaryota; Fungi; Neocallimastigomycota; Neocallimastigomycetes; Neocallimastigales. The record is from RNAcentral.